This 539-nucleotide long non-coding RNA is filed under the name Rattus norvegicus (Norway rat). Its description in RNAcentral is "long non-coding RNA NONRATT015958". Lineage: Eukaryota; Metazoa; Chordata; Mammalia; Rodentia; Muridae. The record is from RNAcentral.
GGUAUUAGCGGAUUCUCUCAUUGGGCGCCCAGGUUUAAAGCUGGGUGUCCACAAUUUUUUUUAAAAGACCGGAAGUGGAGUCACUGAGAGAUAAUUACACAUACGUUUUGUUUGAAUAUUACCAACACUGAUAUACUACAAUAAACCCCGGAUUCUACUUGCAAGUCACAACUUUUCGAUUGCUGUUCUUAUUGUCUUAGAUGUAAUCUUCGAGGUCAUCAGAAAUGGAAAGGAAAGUCAGCAGAAUCUCUCUGGCUUCUGAACCCAAUGUAACCUACUUUCUACAAGUGUCUUGGGAGGGGACGAUAGGAUCUGGUUUUGUUAUUACACUUACGGAUGGCCAUUCAGCCUGGACUGCAAAAGUUUCUGAAUCGGAGAUUGCACAGGAAGCUGAUGACAUGGCUAUGGAGCAGGAAAAAUACAUGGAUGAGCUGAGACGGGCACUGGUGCCAGAGUCGGGAGCAGCUGGUGCAUACAAGUUCAUCUUUUCCAAGGACACUCAGCAUUUCUCCCUGGAGAAAGAACUGAAAGAUGUUUCU